RNAcentral lists this ribosomal RNA (380 nucleotides) under uncultured eukaryote. RNAcentral describes it as "partial 18S ribosomal RNA". It matches the Rfam family "Eukaryotic small subunit ribosomal RNA", at positions 592 to 976 of the family's 1831-position model. The record is from RNAcentral.
CAAUAGCGUAUAUUAAAGUUGUUGCAGUUAAAAAGCUCGUAGUUGGAUUUGUGGCGUACGGUGUGUUCCGGGCACUUGUUGUCUGAGUAACAUGCUGUUGCCAUCCUUGGGUGGAACCUGUGUGGCAUUAGGUUGUCGUGCAGGGGAUGCCCAUCAUUUACUGUGAAAAAAUUAGAGUGUUCAAAGCAGGCUUAUGCCGUUGAAUAUAUUAGCAUGGAAUAAUGAGAUAGGACUUUUUUGCUAUUUUGUUGGUUUGCGCAAGAAGGUAAUGAUUAAUAGGGACAGUUGGGGGUAUUCGUAUUCCAUUGUCAGAGGUGAAAUUCUUGGAUUUUUGGAAGACGAACUACUGCGAAAGCAUUUACCAAGGAUGUUUUCAUUAA